UGCAGUCGAACGAUGACUUUUGUGCUUGCACAGAAUGAUUAGUGGCGAACGGGUGAGUAACACGUGAGUAACCUGCCCCUGACUCUGGGAUAAGCCUGGGAAACUGGGUCUAAUACUGGAUAUGCACCGUAGACCGCAUGGUUUUUGGUGGAAAGAAUUUUGGUCAGGGAUGGACUCGCGGCCUAUCAGCUUGUUGGUGAGGUAAUGGCUCACCAAGGCGACGACGGGUAGCCGGCCUGAGAGGGUGACCGGCCACACUGGGACUGAGACACGGCCCAGACUCCUACGGGAGGCAGCAGUGGGGAAUAUUGCACAAUGGGCGAAAGCCUGAUGCAGCGACGCCGCGUGAGGGAUGACGGCCUUCGGGUUGUAAACCUCUUUCAGUAGGGAAGAAGCGAAAGUGACGGUACCUGCAGAAGAAGCGCCGGCUAACUACGUGCCAG
Molecule: ribosomal RNA, 443 nt
Filed under: Arthrobacter sp. 8-D6
Lineage: Bacteria; Bacillati; Actinomycetota; Actinomycetes; Micrococcales; Micrococcaceae
Description: bacterial SSU rRNA
Rfam family: Bacterial small subunit ribosomal RNA
Source: RNAcentral